RNAcentral lists this ribosomal RNA (434 nucleotides) under uncultured bacterium. Its description in RNAcentral is "partial 16S ribosomal RNA". It matches the Rfam family "Bacterial small subunit ribosomal RNA", at positions 29 to 507 of the family's 1533-position model. The record is from RNAcentral.
AGCGAACGCUGGCGGCAGGCCUAACACAUGCAAGUCGAACGAACCUUUCGGGGUUAGUGGCGGACGGGUGAGUAACACGUGGGAACGUGCCAUUAGGUUCGGAAUAACUCAGGGAAACUUGUGCUAAUACCGAAUGUGCCCUUCGGGGGAAAGAUUUAUCGCCUUUAGAGCGGCCCGCGUCUGAUUAGCUAGUUGGUUGAGGUAAUGGCUCACCAAGGCGACGAUCAGUAGCUGGUCUGAGAGGAUGAUCAGCCACAUUGGGACUGAGACACGGCCCAAACUCCUACGGGAGGCAGCAGUGGGGAAUCUUGCGCAAUGGGCGAAAGCCUGACGCAGCCAUGCCGCGUGAAUGAUGAAGGUCUUAGGAUUGUAAAAUUCUUUCACCGGGGACGAUAAUGACGGUACCCGGAGAAGAAGCCCCGGCUAACUUCGUG